This 1072-nucleotide long non-coding RNA is filed under the name Vulpes vulpes (red fox). Its description in RNAcentral is "lncRNA (ENSVVUG00000025302.1)". The record is from RNAcentral. Lineage: Eukaryota; Metazoa; Chordata; Mammalia; Carnivora; Canidae.
CACCUUGGACACCUGGUCUAGACUCCGUCCAAGUGGUAGGAGAAGCCAGCUUUGGUGGGGCAUUUAGGAGGAGCCUCUGCAGACACCUGUAGGGCCUGAUUUCACUGGGUGCCCACAAACAUUUGGCACUGUUCUGCACCCCAUGGGGCUUCAAUACUCUGCCUUCCCUGGGGAGGGCCUGAAGCACCCUCCUGGGUCCUGCGUGGAGUAGGGGCAACCCCCACAUUCUGCUACUCUUUGGAGGCCUCUGGAAGCAGCCCCAAGAGGUAUUGAGUGACCUUGCUCUAGUCCACCCUGGGCUCUACCUCCAAGCCCUCAAGACUCCUUCCCACCUGUAACCACUGGGCUUGCUUCUGCAAACUACUGCUUCGUAAUGACACAGACUAUAGACGUGCUUCUGAACUGCACUGACCGCCAGCUCCGUUGGGCAGAGCUCCCUCUCGGGCCGAGGUCCUCCCAGAGCAGUGUGGCAUCCUUGGACAGGAUCAGUUUCAAGCACGGGGAUGCGGCAUAAGCAUGAUGAACCCUGGCCUUCCCUGGGCAUCCACUCCACUAGGCAAAAACAAAUCGAGAGUACGACCGACCACAACAGCGCGUCAUGUGAUGACAGACGCUACAGUGAACCUCCAGGAGUUAGAGUCUGAAGGGGAGAAAAGACUGAGCCAACCGUGGGCAUUGACGUGAACCAGUCAGCAUUCUAAGAAGAAAGCCCCAUGGCACUGCCUGCACCUCCUCCCUCAGUCAAGAGGGGCAGAAAGAAGCACAUAGAAACCCACAAAUCCACCAGAUAUUCAGAAACAUUUAGAAAUUUCUACUCAAAACAUUACUGAAGGGAAUAUUUCAGCUUAGGAGAGAGAGAAUAUCUUUCCACCUGAAAAUUCUUAUUCUUCAAAAAUGAUUGUCUAUUAGAGAUAUUAUAUCUGAUUCUAUCAUGGUGAUAACAUUUAAAACAUUGUUAUUAAAAACAAUACAUGCAAAUCAGAGAAAAUGUGAAGCGCACAAAAUAGUGUAAAUGAAGCAUUGAAAUUGCCCAUAAUGUACCAUCCAGAGACCAUCACUGGUAAGAUUUGGG